ACUAAAUAGAUACCCAGGUAGUCCCAGCCGUAAACGAUGCUCGCUAGGUGUCAGGCAUGGCGCGACCGUGUCUGGUGCCGCAGGGAAGCCGUGAAGCGAGCCACCUGGGGAAGUACGGCCGCAAGGCUGAAACUUAAAGGAAUUGGCGGGGAGCACAACAACGGGUGGAGCCUGCGGUUUAAUUGGACUCAACGCCGGACAACUCACCGGGGGCGGACAGCAAUAUGUAGGCCAGGCUGAAGACCUUGCCUGAAUCGCUGAGAGGAGGUGCAUGGCCGUCGCCAGUUCGUACUGUGAAGCAUCCUGUUAAGUCAGGCAACGAGCGAGACCCGUGCCCACUGUUACCAGCAUAUUCUCCGGAAUGAUGGGUACUCUGUGGGGACCGCCGAUGUUAAACUCGGAGGAAGGUGCGGGCCACGGUAGGUCAGUAUGCCCCGGAAUCUCCCGGGGCUACACGCGGGCUACAAUGGAUGGGACAAUGGGUCCCUACCCCGAAAGGGGCUGGUAAUCUCACAAACCCGAUUCGUAGUUCGGAUCGAGGGCUGU
This 546-nucleotide ribosomal RNA is filed under the name uncultured bacterium. RNAcentral's name for it is "bacterial SSU rRNA". It matches the Rfam family "Archaeal small subunit ribosomal RNA", at positions 723 to 1264 of the family's 1478-position model. The record is from RNAcentral.